AGGACGAACGCUGGCGGCGUGCUUAACACAUGCAAGUCGAGCGGUAAGGCCUUUCGGGGUACACGAGCGGCGAACGGGUGAGUAACACGUGGGUGAUCUGCCCUGCACUUCGGGAUAAGCCUGGGAAACUGGGUCUAAUACCGGAUAUGACCUCAGGUUGCAUGACGUUGGGGUGGAAAGUAGUUUAUCGGUGCAGGAUGGGCCCGCGGCCUAUCGAGUCUUGUUGGUGGGUAAUGGCCUACAAGGCGACGACGGGUAGCCGACCUGAGAGGGUCGACCGGCCACGACGUGGACGUGAGACACCGGCCAGACUCCGUACGGGAGCGAGCGAGGUGGGAAUAGUGACAACAAGUAGGGACGAAAGCCGUAGA
Molecule: ribosomal RNA, 371 nt
Filed under: uncultured soil bacterium
Lineage: Bacteria
Description: bacterial SSU rRNA
Rfam family: Bacterial small subunit ribosomal RNA
Source: RNAcentral